Molecule: non-coding RNA, 58 nt
Organism: Aedes albopictus (Asian tiger mosquito)
Lineage: Eukaryota; Metazoa; Arthropoda; Insecta; Diptera; Culicidae
Source: Rfam
UAGCCUAGUGGUUAAGGCUAUGGAUCGCCAAUUCAGAGACGGCGGGUUCGAUUCCCGU